This 497-nucleotide ribosomal RNA is filed under the name uncultured bacterium. RNAcentral's name for it is "partial 16S ribosomal RNA". It matches the Rfam family "Bacterial small subunit ribosomal RNA", at positions 28 to 507 of the family's 1533-position model. The record is from RNAcentral.
GAUGAACGCUGGCGGCGUGCCUAAUACAUGCAAGUAGAACGCUGAAGCUUGGUGCUUGCACCGAGCGGCUGAGUUGCGAACGGGUGAGUAACGCGUAGGUAACCUGCCUCUUAGCGGGGGAUAACUAUUGGAAACGAUAGCUAAUACCGCAUAAAAGUCGAUAUCGCAUGAUAUUGAUUUGAAAGGUGCAAAUGCAUCACUAAGAGAUGGACCUGCGUUGUAUUAGCUAGUUGGUGAGGUAACGGCUCACCAAGGCGACGAUACAUAGCCGACCUGAGAGGGUGAUCGGCCACACUGGGACUGAGACACGGCCCAGACUCCUACGGGAGGCAGCAGUAGGGAAUCUUCGGCAAUGGGGGCAACCCUGACCGAGCAACGCCGCGUGAGUGAAGAAGGUUUUCGGAUCGUAAAGCUCUGUUGUAAGAGAAGAACGAGUGUGAGAGUGGAAAGUUCACACUGUGACGGUAACUUACCAGAAAGGGACGGCUAACUACGUG